RNAcentral lists this ribosomal RNA (220 nucleotides) under uncultured Lactobacillus sp. RNAcentral describes it as "partial 16S ribosomal RNA". It matches the Rfam family "Bacterial small subunit ribosomal RNA", at positions 338 to 537 of the family's 1533-position model. The record is from RNAcentral. Lineage: Bacteria; Bacillati; Bacillota; Bacilli; Lactobacillales; Lactobacillaceae.
CCUACGGGAGGCAGCAGUAGGGAAUCUUCCACAAUGGACGCAAGUCUGAUGGAGCAACGCCGCGUGAGUGAAGAAGGCUUUCGGGUCGUAAAACUCUGUUGUUGGAGAAGAAUGGUCGGCAGAGUAACUGUUGCCGGCGUGACGGUAUCCAACCAGAAAGCCACGGCUAACUACGUGCCAGCAGCCGCGGUAAUACGUAGGUGCCAGCAGCCGCGGUAAU